GCCAUUUUGGCUCAAGGUCCGUAGCCAUUUUGGCUCAAGUCGUGCUCAAGGCUCAAGCCGACUACACUUGGGCUCCAGCAUUC
RNAcentral lists this non-coding RNA (83 nucleotides) under Prorocentrum micans. The record is from RNAcentral. Lineage: Eukaryota; Dinophyceae; Prorocentrales; Prorocentraceae.